AAUAGAUUCUCCUAAAUGUUAGACAGUGGACCUUUAAGCCAGUCUAGUUGUAAGCUUUUUAUGGAACACAUUUUAGAUAUGAAGCUGUUUGCAUCUCCCUCAGUCUUACUCCCUCUUUUGUGUGUACAUUAUCCAAACUGUGACAUAACAGUGAAUGUUUAACUAAGAGAUGGGUGCCAGAAUGAUGAACAUGUUAUUUGUGAACAUGUUAUGUAAAAAGGCUGAAAGGAGGAUUUUAAAGGCAUUUCUGCCUCGAUGUGCAGUGGAAAAUGCUGAGUUUGCAUAAUAUUGUAUUUCGUUUAUGAACACACACAAAACAGUUAUGAUAUAAAAAUGCAGCAACAUUUAUUUUUUAUUUCUUUAUUAGUCACUUCUGACAUUCGUAAUUAGUAAUAAACAUUUACGGCCAGCACAUUUCGAGUCAAUCAAGCCAACAUACCCAUCGCUGAUUAUUGUUUGUGUUUUCCCAAGUUUUCCUUCUGAGAACAUCUGAUACUGACAUGUAUAUUUUAUAGAUUUGGCUGUACUGGCGGACGUUGGGGCACUAGGUUUUUUUAUUCAGUACAAAUGAAAUAAGGCAAGAAAGUUCAGAGGCACUGUGGCAAAAGUAUUUAUUUAAUACUCAGUGUAAAGC
Long non-coding RNA from Dicentrarchus labrax (European seabass), 634 nucleotides. RefSeq lists it as uncharacterized. The record is from RefSeq and is a predicted model, not a curated record. The transcript is spliced from 2 exons. Lineage: Eukaryota; Metazoa; Chordata; Actinopteri; Moronidae.